AGGGCUCUUCCGGAGGGCCCCCCCCAAUCCUGUUGUGCCUGAUUCAGAGGGUUGGGUGGAGGCUUUCCUGAAGGGCUC
RNAcentral lists this microRNA precursor (78 nucleotides) under Mustela putorius furo (domestic ferret). RNAcentral describes it as "mir-296 microRNA precursor family". It matches the Rfam family "mir-296 microRNA precursor family". The record is from Rfam by way of RNAcentral. RNAcentral also lists the same sequence under 1 other name. Lineage: Eukaryota; Metazoa; Chordata; Mammalia; Carnivora; Mustelidae.